GGCUUAUUGAUAAAUAAUUUUAAGUCUAGCCUGCCCUCUGAGGAUUUAAAUGGCCGCAGUAUUUUGACUGUGCUAAGGUAGCAUAAUAAUUAGUUUUUUAAUUGAAAGCUGGUAUGAAUGGUAUUAUGAGAAAAUUUCUGUCUCUUUUAAAAAGUUAAAAUUUUAUUUUUAAGUAAAAAAGCUUAAAUAUUAUUAAAAGACGAGAAGACCCUAUAGAAUUUUAUUUAAGUGGAUUUUUAGUGGGAUUAGUAAUUAAUAUUUAAAAAUAACUUUAUAUUUAAUUGGGGUGAUUAGAAAAAUUAAAUAUCUUUUUUUUAUAAAAACAUUAAUUUAUGUUUAGAUGAUUCAUAUUAAUGAUUAAAGAAUUAAUUACCUUAGGGAUAACAGCGUAAUUUUUUUUUAGAGUUCAAAUUAAAAGGAAAGAUUGCGACCUCGAUGUUGGAUUAAAAUUAAUUUUUGGCGUAGUAGCUAAAGGAUUAAGUCUGUUCGACUUUAAAAAUUUUACA
RNAcentral lists this ribosomal RNA (506 nucleotides) under Plateumaris rustica. Its description in RNAcentral is "partial 16S ribosomal RNA". The stretch from base 380 to 506 matches the Rfam family "Bacterial large subunit ribosomal RNA", at positions 2473 to 2600 of the family's 2925-position model. Lineage: Eukaryota; Metazoa; Arthropoda; Insecta; Coleoptera; Chrysomelidae. The record is from RNAcentral.